Cylas formicarius (sweet potato weevil) is the source of this 1246-nucleotide long non-coding RNA. RefSeq lists it as uncharacterized. Lineage: Eukaryota; Metazoa; Arthropoda; Insecta; Coleoptera; Brentidae. The transcript has 3 exons. The record is from RefSeq and is a predicted model, not a curated record.
UUUGUUGAAACGCAUGUGGAGGUGUCUUUGUUUGUUAACUUUUAGAAAGUAUUCUCGCACCGUAUAAAUACAUCUCAUUUUUCUCUGUUUCGUCAGUAGUUGUUUUUGGUAUUAUUCGUGCAACGUGGAAGCUAACUUAGUGGUUUGGUGUUCGUGCCAAAAAGCAGUCUUAAAGAUCAUCUUAGUACUCUCAACCCGUAACCGCAACUAGAAUAGCAGCAAUCUUAAGCAUGGACUUAAGUCAACUGAAUCAAACCUGUCUUGCAGAAGGUGAUUUUGAGCAGCCGAUUGCUGCCGGUGCUGCAAAACACUUGUUGACAACGGCCUAUGGUGAAUCUACUUUGACCAAAAAAAAAGUUUAUAAGUGGUACAAGAUGUUCCAAGAUGGCCGAGAAGAGCGUUGAAGAAGAAGAAAAGCGUUGCACUUUUUUCCGAAGUUUUGGGCAUGAAACUUGUAGCAGCAAAAUUUGUUCCGAAACUGCUUAAUUUUGAACAAAAGGACUGUCGAAAGAGCUGUUAAACGACGUGAAUUCGCCACUACAUUCACCACGCCCCUGCGACUUUUUUCUGUUCCCAAAACUCAAGAAACCCAUGAAAGGAAGCAGGAUUGGAACGAUUGAGGAGCUAAAUAAAAAAUCGCUAGAAGAACUCAAGGCUAUACCAGAAGCUUCUUCGAAGAUUGGAAAAAACGUUGGCUGGGAGGAUUACUUUGAAGGGGACAAAUAAUAUUAAUUAUGAUAAAUAAAUAUUUUUUGAUAAAACUUUAAAGUCACCUUACUUCUUGAACACGCCUCAUAGAUAUAAUUUCUCCCAGAAAUAAAUGCAUUAUGGUAAAUUUUUGAACGGUUUUAUUUUAAAAGUUAUUAAUUCCAGAAAUGGGGUAUGUUAUAAAAAAGUUGUUCUAUUUAAAAUAACAAAGUUGAGGUUACAUCCCGAGUUUUCAUGCUCCAAAUGUUCAAAAUCUUCAACCCUAUUAACUUACCAAAUUGUAUAUUUUUAUCUGAAGCCAUUUUAAAAUGCUGCUGUGGACAGUAGUUUCAUUGCCAUUGUAAUAUUUGUUAUACUUAUUAAAAACGCUGUAGAUCACAUUGAAGUUUUACAAAACCUAUGGAAGUCUUCACAACUUUGUAAUUUAUAUGUUUGGAAAAGUGAAAAUAAUCAAUUGUGUCGAUUUUUCUCUCUUCUGAGAUCGAUUAAAUUAAAUCCAAUUCCAAAAAUGUAUAGAUGACAAAUUGUGACAGCAAAA